This 252-nucleotide ribosomal RNA is filed under the name uncultured bacterium. RNAcentral describes it as "partial 16S ribosomal RNA". It matches the Rfam family "Bacterial small subunit ribosomal RNA", at positions 524 to 776 of the family's 1533-position model. The record is from RNAcentral.
UACAUAGGAGGCGAGCGUUCUCCGGAUUUACUGGGCGUAAAGAGCGUUGAGGCGGCCCUGUAAGUUGGACGUGAAAGCUCCUGGCUCAACUGGGAGAGGUCGUUCAAUACUGCAGGGCUUGAGGACAGCAGAGGGGGGUGGAAUUCCCGGUGUAGUGGUGAAAUGCGUAGAUAUCGGGAGGAACACCAGUGGCGAAGGCGGCCCCCUGGGCUGCUCCUGACGCUGAAGGCGAAAGCUAGGGGAGCGAACGGG